UAUCUUCUGUCGUGUUCGCCAGCGGGCCUACAGAAACUUGAGCUUAUUUCCUGUAAUGUAGGGAGCUGAACCGCGCUAUUGUGUGCAAGCCCACUUGAGGUGGGAAGCCUGAUAUAACGCCCGCUGUUCCCACUUGAACCUCUGGUUCAAGUUUAUUGCCCGCAACGGCACGAUGGUUGAUAC
This 183-nucleotide non-coding RNA is filed under the name Gammaproteobacteria bacterium. RNAcentral describes it as "6S RNA". It matches the Rfam family "6S / SsrS RNA". From Rfam's summary of the family: E. coli 6S RNA was the first non coding RNA to be sequenced, but its function was unknown until recently. It consists of 184 nucleotides that fold into an extended hairpin structure with a large single-stranded internal bulge. Lineage: Bacteria; Pseudomonadati; Pseudomonadota; Gammaproteobacteria. The record is from RNAcentral.